GCGCAGCCUGGGCUCGUACAGGCAGCUACACUGGGCGAUUCGCCGAGUGAAUUGUUCGCGGAGCAUUGGUCUCUGCGAGCGAGUCCUUUGAAUUCGCGGAGCAUUGUGCCCCGCUGAGAAUUCCGAAACGUGCAGAGCAUUGGCCUCUGCUAGGAGUCCUCAGUUCACGGAGCAUUGGUCUCUGCAGAGGAUUCCUCAACGUGCAGAGCAUUGGCCUCUGGAAAAGAGCGUGAAUUUCCUUUGAAGAGUUCCAUUGUUGCUCCUUCGAGUUUUGCUGAGGCCUUGUCGUUCCUCUGUGACAUCCUCUCUUCAGAAUGGCUUCUGGAUUCCCAAAAAAGACACCAACACCUCGUCUUUUGCUGAGGGAAAGACUGCAGCCUAACACUUUGCCUCCGUCUAAGUUCCAGCAGGAGAAGUUUGUCAGCAUGAAGAAGGAGGCCAGCACUGGGGGGAGGAUUCUGCCCAGAAUUGGCCCAUGGAUAGACCUGAGCAAGACUGGUCCAAAGCUGCCGUCAGCUGCCCCGAAACAGAGCUUGUUUCAGGUUUCCCCACCAGAGAUGGUGUUUGAGAACUUCGUGGCUCGGGAGGUCUCUGAAAUGGUGCUGUCUGUGACAAAUAAGGAC
Passer domesticus (house sparrow) is the source of this 623-nucleotide long non-coding RNA. RefSeq lists it as uncharacterized. The transcript is spliced from 4 exons. NCBI's taxonomy places the organism in Eukaryota, Metazoa, Chordata, Aves, Passeriformes, Passeridae. The record is from RefSeq and is a predicted model, not a curated record.